This 503-nucleotide ribosomal RNA is filed under the name uncultured bacterium. RNAcentral's name for it is "partial 16S ribosomal RNA". It matches the Rfam family "Bacterial small subunit ribosomal RNA", at positions 29 to 506 of the family's 1533-position model. The record is from RNAcentral.
ACGAACGCUGGCGGCGUGCCUAAUACAUGCAAGUAGAACGCACAAUUUAUACCGUAGCUUGCUACACCAUAGACUGUGAGUUGCGAACGGGUGAGUAACGCGUAGGUAACCUGCCUGGUAGCGGGGGAUAACUAUUGGAAACGAUAGCUAAUACCGCAUAAUAUUGAUUAUUGCAUGAUAAUUAAUUGAAAGGUGCAAUUGCACCACUACCAGAUGGACCUGCGUUGUAUUAGCUAGUAGGUGAGGUAACGGCUCACAUAGGCGACGAUACAUAGCCGACCUGGGGGGGUGAUGGCCCACACUGGGAUGGAAACACGGCCCAGACUCCACGGGGGGGCAGAAGUAGGGAAUUUUCGGAAAUGGAAGAAAGUCUGACCGGGCAACGCCGCGUGGGUGAAGAAGGUUUUGGGAUCGUAAAGCUCUGUUGUAAGGGAAGAACGGUUGGGAGAGGGGAAAGUUCACACUAGGGCGGUAUUUUACAAAAAAAGGAGGGCUAACUCCGG